UACGUAGGCGGCGAGCGUUAUCCGGAAUUACUGGGCGUAAAGCGUACGCAGGCGGCUUCUUAAGUCUGACGUGAAAGCUCCCGGCUUAACUGGGAGAGGUCGUUGGAGACUGGGGGGCUUGAGGCGAUGAGAGGGGUGUAGAAUUCCAGGUGUAGUGGUGGAAUGCGUAGAUAUCGGGAGGAAUACCAGUGGCGAAAGCGACACCCUGGCAUAGGCCUGACGCUCAUGUAAGAAAGCGUGGGGAGCAAACGGG
RNAcentral lists this ribosomal RNA (253 nucleotides) under uncultured bacterium. RNAcentral describes it as "partial 16S ribosomal RNA". It matches the Rfam family "Bacterial small subunit ribosomal RNA", at positions 524 to 776 of the family's 1533-position model. The record is from RNAcentral.